This 715-nucleotide ribosomal RNA is filed under the name uncultured bacterium. RNAcentral describes it as "bacterial SSU rRNA". It matches the Rfam family "Bacterial small subunit ribosomal RNA", at positions 8 to 695 of the family's 1533-position model. The record is from RNAcentral.
AGACUUUGAUUCUGGCUCAGAUUGAACGCUGGCGGCGUGCCUAACACAUGCAAGUCGAGCGAGAAAGGGUCCUUCGGGACCUGAGUAGAGCGGCGCACGGGUGAGUAACGCGUAGGUGAUCUACCCUUUGGAUCGGGAUAACAGUUGGAAACGGCUGCUAAUACCGGAUGUGCUCCAUAUUUAGCUUUAUGGGGGAAAGGUGGCCUCUGCAUGCAAGCUACCACCAAAGGAUGAACCUGCGUCUCAUUAGCUUGUUGGUGGGGUAAUGGCCUACCAAGGCGACGAUGAGUAGCUGGUCUGAGAGGAUGAUCAGCCACACUGGGACUGGAACACGGCCCAGACUCCUACGGGAGGCAGCAGUGGGGAAUAUUGCGCAAUGGGCGAAAGCCUGACGCAGCGACGCCGCGUGAGGGAAGAAGGCUCUCGGGUCGUAAACCUCUGUCAGAAGGGAAGAAACCCUUGAAGUCGAAUAGGCUUCUUGGCUGACGGUACCUUCAGAGGAAGCACCGGCUAAUUCCGUGCCAGCAGCCGCGGUAAUACGGAAGGUGCAAGCGUUAAUCGGAAUCACUGGGCGUAAAGCGCGCGUAGGCGGCGCGGUCAGUCACGAUGUGACAAGCCCUCGGCUCAACCGGGGAAUUGCAUUUGAACACUUGCCGUGCUUGAGUACUGGAGAGGCCAGGCGGAAUUCCAGGUGUACGGAGUGAAGUCCGAAUAU